RNAcentral lists this ribosomal RNA (393 nucleotides) under uncultured bacterium. RNAcentral describes it as "partial 16S ribosomal RNA". It matches the Rfam family "Bacterial small subunit ribosomal RNA", at positions 523 to 918 of the family's 1533-position model. The record is from RNAcentral.
AUACGGAGGACGCGAGCGUUAUCCGGAUUCAUUGGGUUUAAAGGGUGCGCAGGCGGCCGUGCAAGUCAGCGGUGAAAGCCCGGGGCUCAACCCCGGAAGUGCCGUUGAUACUGCAUGGCUGGAAUGCGGUCGAGGCGGGCGGAACGUGGCGUGUAGCGGUGAAAUGCGUAGAUAUGGCACAGAACGCCGAUAGCGGAGGCAGCUCGCCAGGCCUGCAUUGACGCUCGGGCACGAAAGCGUGGGGAUCGAACAGGAUUAGAUACCCUGGUAGUCCACGCCGUAAACGAUGGGCGCUCGUCGUCGGCGGCAGACAGUCGGCGGCCAAGCGAAAGCGAUAAGCGCCCCACCUGGGGAGUACGGUCGCAAGGCUGAAACUCAAAUGAAUUGACGGGG